Non-coding RNA from Schizosaccharomyces pombe (fission yeast), 1256 nucleotides. NCBI's taxonomy places the organism in Eukaryota, Fungi, Ascomycota, Schizosaccharomycetes, Schizosaccharomycetales, Schizosaccharomycetaceae. The record is from the annotation of a GenBank genome assembly.
GAUGAACUAGGGGUAAGGACUUUGCUUUUUUCCAGUAUCGUCUUACGAAUCUUCUUGGUUCUUGAAGUAACCAAAAGAAUAAUAGAAUCCGUGAUACCUGUUAAUGUCACAAGUCCCAUAGAACACCAUAAAAAGAUCAUAGCCUUUUUGCCUAGAGAUGCAGUAACUCGAUUUUGUGUUCCAUUUCCAACAGCCAUCACAAAAGAGGAGACAGCAACGUGAGCAAACAAAGCAGUUACUAGUAUACUAAAAAAGGAGAAAAAAGAAAGGCUUAUACGAAUGUUUCUCAGGAAUUCCAAACGCCCUAUUAAGGGAAGGCUGGAAACAACACCCAUAAGAAAUGAAACACCGCAUACGCAAAAUGAAAAGACAAUCAUCCAAGGGUGAACUUCAUUGAUUAGAAAUUUAGACCUUACAUCCGUUAAGCUAAUGGAAGUCAACCCAGGACAACCAGUAAAUUGAGGUUUGCAGAUCAGCGUCGCAUUAGCAGAAAGUACACACAUGUUAAAAUACCCAACGUUAAUUUGGGCUACGUUAGUUGCAAGAGAAAACAACUGGAAUUUCGAGGUGGUACUAGAUUGGCAACCUGUCAUUACUAGUGCAAGUAAAAUCCAUGCAGCUAAUGUGCAAAGAGUUCCAGUUCCUUGUACAACUGAAUGAAGAAACAGCAUGGUGAUUAAAUGUAGAUGUUUGUUUGUCCUUGAUACAAAAACUCUUUUCGUCAACUGGUUUUUUUGAAUGAAUAGGUUGAAUGUUUUUUAAAAAAAGGUAAAUUAUUUGACGUUCGUGAAAGCCUUCAGUAAGCAAAAAUAUAGGCAAAUCCUGAAGUAAAAUUAAGGAGAUUUAAUCACAACAGAAUUAUCUCAAAUGGCUUUUUGCGAUGCUAUGAAGGGAAGUAGCUUGAAAAGACGAACAAGGAAGAUCCAAGCCAGGUUUUAAAGUAAACAAAAAAAUUAUUAAUGACAUAAUAUAUUUCUAAGCUUUCUUUCAAAAAUCUGCUUUUUUCAUUGUCUUCGUGUUUUCUUUGUUCCCGAGAACAAAGAGUUCGUCAAUGGUCAUUCGACUCUAUGAGGAAUACGCAGCGGGCAUAUCUUUGAGAAAAAAAAGUUUCCAUAGCAAAAGCCCCAAGGUAUGAUGUUUCUUGUCGCAAGGAACAAAAAAAUAUUUAGAUCCCACUGGUAGCGUAUGACUCAAUUGCGAUUUUAAAAAGGGCUCGGGCAGUAUUUGUAACAACGAUAUAAACGAUUGACGAGGAU